This 782-nucleotide long non-coding RNA is filed under the name Carassius auratus (goldfish). RNAcentral describes it as "lncRNA (ENSCARG00000002550.1)". The record is from RNAcentral. Lineage: Eukaryota; Metazoa; Chordata; Actinopteri; Cypriniformes; Cyprinidae.
AAGAAGAGUAACCCGUGCUGUGUUUAACAGCAGGGUUUUUGUUUAGCCGUCACUCAGGGUAUUUCGUGCAGGCAGAUCAUCAGGCAGCCUCCUGUAGGGGGUCCUUAAAAACACGGAAGCAUGCCAGUGUUUACAGGCGAGUGGAAGAACACGUGUGUGUGUGUGUGUGUGUGUGUGUGUGUGAGAGCAGCUGCGCUGAUCAGCAGAGGGAAGGACAGCUGUUAUAACAUGCUGCAGUGUGUGUCUGCUGGUCACUAUCAUGGCUCUCGCGAACCUCAUGCCUCACACACAUGGUGAAAUCUGACCGGUUACUGACCCCAACAACGGAGAAGCAGCGUGUUGAGGCCUUGUCUGUGGGGGCCAUUCUGUCCAACUACCAGAGAGUACGUGUGGAAAAUGUGUAAGUGGACCUCUCUAUCUUGUUUCUCCUUUCCAUUUCUCACACAUGCAUAUAGAACCGUGCAUCAUUUUGGAUUAUUAAAUUAAUAAUUAAUUAAUAUAUCAAAUGCAUAAAUGCUCAUAUAAUCAGGAAGUAUUAUAUUUGGUAACUCUGUUUUUGCCAUGAAGCUAUCAUCAGAAGCUGUGGCAUUCAAAUCUGUAUUAUACUAUACUAAUGAUCAGGCUCAUUUGUCUCCCUGUUCUUCAAAUUAAACCCAAAGUGUUUGAAUUGUAUCUAUAAAAUAAACACAUUUAUUGAAAAUUAUUAAGAUUAACCCAAUGUUUGUUUCAAAGGGGUCAUAUGAUGUGAUUUCAAUUUUUUGUUUCUCUUUGGAGUGUUACAA